RNAcentral lists this ribosomal RNA (468 nucleotides) under uncultured bacterium. RNAcentral describes it as "partial 16S ribosomal RNA". It matches the Rfam family "Bacterial small subunit ribosomal RNA", at positions 28 to 507 of the family's 1533-position model. The record is from RNAcentral.
GACGAACGCUGGCGGCGUGCUUAACACAUGCAAGUCGAACGGAAAGGCCCUGCUUUUGUGGGGUGCUCGAGUGGCGAACGGGUGAGUAACACGUGAGUAACCUGCCCUUGACUUUGGGAUAACUUCAGGAAACUGGGGCUAAUACCGGAUAGGAGCUCCUGCUGCAUGGUGGGGGUUGGAAAGUUUCGGCGGUUGGGGAUAGACUCGCGGCUUAUCAGCUUGUUGGUGGGGUAGUGGCUUACCAAGGCUUUGACGGGUAGCCGGCCUGAGAGGGUGACCGGCCACAUUGGGACUGAGAUACGGCACAGACUCCUACGGGAGGCAGAAGUGGGGAAUAUUGCACAAUGGGCGGAAGCCUGAUGCAGCAACGCCGCGUGCGGGAAGACGGCCUUCGGGUGGUAAACCGCUUUCGCCUGUGACGAAGAGUGAGUGACGGUAAUGGGUAAAGAAGCACCGGCUAACUACGUG